UCCGAAGGGAGCUAUCGUUGUUCGGAAUCACUGGGCGUAAAGCGCACGUAGGCGGAUUUGUCAGUCGGGGGUGAAAUCCCGAGGCUCAACCUCGGAACUGCCUCCGAUACAGCAAAUCUCGAGUCCGGGAGAGGUGGGUGGAAUUCCUAGUGUAGAGGUGAAAUUCGUAGAUAUUAGGAAGAACACCAGUGGCGAAGGCGGCCCACUGGCCCGGUACUGACGCUGAGGUGCGAAAGCGUGGGGAGGAAACAGG
RNAcentral lists this ribosomal RNA (253 nucleotides) under uncultured bacterium. RNAcentral's name for it is "partial 16S ribosomal RNA". It matches the Rfam family "Bacterial small subunit ribosomal RNA", at positions 524 to 776 of the family's 1533-position model. The record is from RNAcentral.